Long non-coding RNA from Manis pentadactyla (Chinese pangolin), 1648 nucleotides. RefSeq lists it as uncharacterized. The transcript is spliced from 2 exons. Lineage: Eukaryota; Metazoa; Chordata; Mammalia; Pholidota; Manidae. The record is from RefSeq and is a predicted model, not a curated record.
AUCCUUCCUUCUCCUGGCCCUAGCAGAAUCAAUGGCUCCCCUGUCCUAUGUCUGUACCUCCAUUACAGCAUUAAUCCCUCUGGGUUACAAAUCAUGGUGUGUCAUCUGUCUUUCCUACAAGAUUAUCAGCUCCCUGAGGACAGGGAUUCAGUAAUUCAUGUGAGGGUUCCCAGUGUCUACCAAUAAUAACAGCCUGCUGCAAAGAGUAGACAUUUCAGUAAAUGUUUGCUAAAUUCUACUGAACGAUUUACAGAAACUCAAGGUGUUGACUUUAUACAACUGCUCACUUUAGUAUACCAAACAGUCUAAGAAAAUGAGGGAAAUGGGAUUAGAAUCUGGGCAUCUCAUAUCCCACUACUGUACAUGAAGCAAUGAUUUCAGUGAUCACACUGAAAUGCCUUUUUAAAAAAAGAAGAGUGGAGAAGUGAGUAAAAAGAUGGAAUUGUGGAGGAGGGGUAUACUACUGAAGGGUGUGGUGGGAAAAUAAAUAUCCCGUCCAACUCAAAGUUUUAAGCUUGGCAGAGGAAAGGUAAGGACUGCAUCUUGAGAGAUUUGUGCCCAGACCACUGGCUGAGUUACUUCACGGAAAAGGACAUUUCUACUAAAAUUUUAUUUUAAAUAACAUAGGCAGAUUUUUCUGGUUGAAUUUAACCAACAAUAGAAAGAAAGAAACUCUACGUACCUCAAUCAUUACUUAACUGGAAGAAACAAAUGCCAAGACCUUCACUGUCUGUGGAGACUCUACUACUCUUUAAUUCUUUAUGGAUUCAAGGAAUCCCAUCUGAGUCACAGUAACCUAUAGCAGAGUUAAGUCUAAGUUCUCAAUCACAAAAGUGAGCUAUGCUGAUGAACCUUCCUGGGCCAGGAUGGCAAGAAAUGACUGUCCCAGUGCAGAGCUGGGAACAGAGAAGGCAAGCUGCCGAGUACCAUAUAUUUCUGAUAUUAAAUGCACAUUUAAAAAAAACUGUAUUUGAUAGAGCCAUCUCAAGGAAAAAAAAAAUGCAAUGAGAUAACCAAACCAUUUUCAAUGUGGAAUGAGAACAGCAAGUCCUCCUCAAUGAGAGGGAGCUGGAAACCACUUGUUGAAGUAGGGACAGUGAGUACCUGAAGCAGAUCCUAUGCCCAAAUGGUCACUGAAUUUUCUUUAGUGAUUUCUACAAGCCAAAAAUCAACAAAAACCAAACCAAAACAAAAACCAAAAUGACUAAAUAGUGGUGGGUUCAGAGUUAAUAAUUAUAUAGUAACUUUCAUUCCAAAGGUUCCAAACGCACAUCCCACUAUAGUUAUCUAAUACGUGCACAGAUAGAAAGAGACAAGGGGAGGCAGGGGCGGGGGAGAGUAUAUGUGGGGAGGGGUCAGAAGGGGAGACUGUUCCUUACAAACUUUCCCUUCUCUGCGGGAACUGUAACCACGUGAUAGCUAAUGGUCAGUGCUAGGAUCCACCCAAACGGAACAAAGUACAAAAGCCACCCUAUCCCCAAAAUAAGUAUUGAGGGUGCCAGAGAAACGAUAAGUGAGUGGCCUGUGAUGAACAAACUGCAAUUAGGGUGUGACAAUGAAGAUCCCCUCCCACAUGGUGCCAACUUUCGGGUUUCCAUGACCUGGCAGGAACCUCCACUAUCCAUCCUUUUCUGCCACAGAAGUGGAU